RNAcentral lists this ribosomal RNA (478 nucleotides) under uncultured bacterium. Its description in RNAcentral is "partial 16S ribosomal RNA". It matches the Rfam family "Bacterial small subunit ribosomal RNA", at positions 28 to 523 of the family's 1533-position model. The record is from RNAcentral.
GACGAACGCUGGCGGCGUGCUUAACACAUGCAAGUCGAACGGAAAGGCCCUUCGGGGUACUCGAGUGGCGAACGGGUGAGUAACACGUGGGUGAUCUGCCCUGCACUUUGGGAUAAGCCUGGGAAACUGGGUCUAAUACCGGAUAGGACCACUGCCUGCAUGGGUGGUGGUGGAAAGAUUUUGCGGUGUGGGAUGGGCCCGCGGCCUAUCAGCUUGUUGGUGAGGUGAUGGCCUACCAAGGCGACGACGGGUAGCCGGCCUGAGAGGGUGAUCGGCCACACUGGGACUGAGAUACGGCCCAGACUCCUACGGGAGGCAGCAGUGGGGAAUAUUGCACAAUGGGCGCAAGCCUGAUGCAGCGACGCCGCGUGAGGGAUGACGGCCUUCGGGUUGUAAACCUCUUUCAGCACCGACGAAGCGCAAGUGACGGUAGGUGCAGAAGAAGGACCGGCCAACUACGUGCCAGCCGCCGCGGUAA